Capsicum annuum is the source of this 2571-nucleotide long non-coding RNA. RefSeq lists it as uncharacterized. The transcript is spliced from 2 exons. The record is from RefSeq and is a predicted model, not a curated record. NCBI's taxonomy places the organism in Eukaryota, Viridiplantae, Streptophyta, Magnoliopsida, Solanales, Solanaceae.
AAACAGUGAUAACAUCACAACACCAACGACGAACGAUUCAGUACAAAACUGACUCGUGACCCGCAAUCCACGACCCAAAAUCGUCAACCAACUCUGAUAUCAGCGAAAACCUGACCCGACCUUGUACACGCACGUCUCACGCGAUAGUAUGACGAGGAAAGGUUCGAGAAUCUUCUAGAAAAAUGCCUAGGUGUCUCAUCCAAUGUUCGAAUCUCGAGAUUUUUGGGUUAAUUGGUACUAAUUCGUACACACUCGCUCAAUUUCUAUUGGUUGAUAAAGGGAAUUUCAUCCCUCAAUUCUAUUGGUUGGCCAAUUUUGAAUUUCAUCAAGAAAAUUCCAAAAUUCGUACAAGUUGUUGGUGGAAAACCCUAUAUUCAGCUCCAAUUCGAAUUUCCCCUACCAAAAAUUCCGAGUUUACCCCCGUUGUCCUCUUUCCCACAUCGUUCAAAGCCUAAGAAGGAACCUUCAAUUCUCUCCUAUAAAAGGAGCUCGUUGUCGAGCCGUGAAGGGGGUUGGAAAUUUCUUUUGGGGGGAAACAAAAACAAGAGAAAAAGUCUCAAAUAAGGGAAGGGGGGAAAACCUGAGAGGUUCGAAAAAGCUUUUGGAAAAAAUAGUUUUUGUAGUAUAAGUUCUUUUGUUUAAGAAAGGUCAACGAUUGUUCGGAUUUUUUGGAGUCACGGCAAGGUCCUCCGGUGGUAAUCGAGAUUUCGUCAAAAGUUCGAGUCCUGUUUUGCUGGCCCGAGAGAGGCUCAAUUUCUCCUUGCAUUUUCCUCAUAGGCCAUUGAGGCCCACUACCUCUAUUGAGUCAACUCCUAGAGAAAGUUCAAAAGUCGAUCAUGUGGUGUACAAUUAUGAGAAGUCAAAAGAAGAAAAAUGGGUUAAUGUCUCAUAUUUAAAAAGGCAAAGAGACUCGAGUCUCAUUUUUCUUUAUUUAUUUAUUGUUGUCUUAUUUAUUUCUUUAUUUAUUCAUUUGGGCCUCGAAGCCAAAGUUGUAAGCUAAUACAGGUGAAGCGAAACUUGAGCCAAAGGCUUGAAAAAAUAGUUUAAGACACGUUAUGGGCCGAAAGCCAAAUGCUUAGAUUAGGAUCGGUACAAGUGAGUCAAAAGCUCAAUUAGAAUAGGACAGGGUUUGUUGAUUUGGGCUCAAUGGUCUAAGUCUUUUACUUUCUCCCCUUCCCUUUUUUAUGUGCUAUUUGCUAUUUUAUUCACUUAGACUUAGUUGAAAUUUCCGCUAAGUCGCUAAAAAUGAUUUUGCAAAAGCUUUUAAAAAAAUUCCUUAAUCAACUUUUUUUCAACAAUCGACCCUUUUUUAGAAUUAGUCAAAAGGAAAACUAUUUUUUCAAAUAGUCUGGAUAAUCGCAAGUUAACAGACAUUUUAGGUGCUUUAAAAAAUCUUCCUAAAAUAUUAAUAGGAACUGCUUAUCUAGAAUUUCAACUUAAAUGAUUUUCUUGUUUUGAAUCAUCUAAGUAUUUUAUAAAGAUUUUUUUAAUUUCUUUUCAAAUAAAUUAAGUGGCGACUUUAAAAGUUAAAAUUUUUGCAAAACAAUUAUUAUAGAUGUUUUUUGCAAUAUGCAUCACAUCAAUGUUAGAAUUCUAGUAUGGUAAAUCUCAAAAUAUGCUUCGCUUUUUCCACCCAAAUGUCUUACAUAUUGUUUUAUUAACUUGUUCUGCAUCUAAUUUUGUUACAUUUCAUAUCCCCAAAUUAUAAAUUUGAUUCAAAAUUUUCUCUCCUGUUCCAUAUGUUGAUGGGGUCUUUUGACAGUUUGACCUUUAAGAAAGUUCUUUCGAUCUCUCCUAAAUGAGUGAUAUUGGUCAAGGAGCAUUUUGUGGCAAUCAAACCAUGAUUGUUUUCUUCCAUGCUGUAAUCUAAGGGAUUGUGUUUCCUUUAUACAAUAAGGGCAUGCUAAUUUACCCGCAAUACUCCAUUCUGAUAACAUAGAAUAUGCUGGAAAGUCACUAAUUGUCCAUGCCAAAGUUGCCAUUAAUUGAAAGUUUUGCCUUUUUGAGAUGUCAAAUACUUCUACACCUGUCUCUCACAAUAAGGUCAGUUCCUUUAUUAGAGGAUGCAAAUAAACAUCAAUUUUAUGUUUGGGAUUGCUCGGACCGGGAACAAUGAUUGUUAAGAAUAUAUAAGCCUUUUUCAUGCACAUUCUUAGAGGGAAAUUGUAUGGAGUGACAUUCACUGCCCACGAAGAAUAUUUCCUUCCAGACUGACUGAAUGGUUGAAAACCAUUCGUACAUAACUCCAACCUAACAUUUAUUGGUUCAGCGGCAAAAAAGUGAUUAGUUUCAUUGAAGUACUUCCAAGCCUCAGAAUCUGAUGGAUGACGCAUCACACCAUCCUCUUUUUUAUGAUCAUGAUGCUAUCUCAUGUCGGUAGCUGUAGCAUGGGAUGCAUAUAAUCUUUGCGAUCUCGGAAUCAAAGAAAAAUAAUACAUUUUCUUGUAAGGAACCAAUUUCCUCUUAGGAGAGCUAACACAACGCUUAUACAUUGGCUUGCUACAAAAUUUACAAGAUGUAAGGUGUUCAUCAUCAUCACCCCAAUACAACAUACAUCCUGAUUCAUAGCAA